CCAUGGUGACCACGGGUGACGGGGAA
This 26-nucleotide non-coding RNA is filed under the name Mus musculus (house mouse). Lineage: Eukaryota; Metazoa; Chordata; Mammalia; Rodentia; Muridae. The record is from RNAcentral.